Molecule: ribosomal RNA, 585 nt
Filed under: uncultured bacterium
Lineage: Bacteria
Description: partial 16S ribosomal RNA
Rfam family: Bacterial small subunit ribosomal RNA
Source: RNAcentral
UGGGGAAUUUUGGACAAUGGGCGAAAGCCUGAUCCAGCAAUGCCGCGUGUGUGAAGAAGGCCUUCGGGUUGUAAAGCACUUUUGUCCGGAAAGAAAUCCUUGGCUCUAAUACAGUCGGGGGAUGACGGUACCGGAAGAAUAAGCACCGGCUAACUACGUGCCAGCAGCCGCGGUAAUACGCAGGGUGCAAGCGUUAAUCGGAAUUACUGGGCGUAAAGCGUGCGCAGGCGGUUUGCUAAGACCGAUGUGAAAUCCCCGGGCUCAACCUGGGAACUGCAUUGGUGACUGGCAGGCUAGAGUAUGGCAGAGGGGGGUAGAAUUCCACGUGUAGCAGUGAAAUGCGUAGAGAUGUGGAGGAAUACCGAUGGCGAAGGCAGCCCCCUGGGCCAAUACUGACGCUCAUGCACGAAAGCGUGGGGAGCAAACAGGAUUAGGUACCCUGGUAGUCCACGCCCUAAACGAUGUCAACUAGUUGUUGGGGAUUCAUUUCCUUAGUAACGUAGCUAACGCGUGAAGUUGACCGCCUGGGGAGUACGGUCGCAAGAUUAAAACUUAAAUGAAUUGACGGGGUCAUAGCUGUUUCCU